UAAUAGCGUAUAUUAAAGUUGUUGCAGUUAAAAAGCUCGUAGUCGGAUGUCGGGCUCGGGCAGGCUGUCGGCUUCGGUAGGACGGCAGGCUCGGGUCUUUCUGCCUGAGGAUCCAUCUCAUUCACUUGGGGUGGGGACGCAGGCCGUUUACUUUGAAAAAAUUAGAGUGUUCAAAGCAGGCCUACGCUUGAAUACAUUAGCAUGGAAUAAUGGAAUAGGACUUUGGUGCUAUUUUGUUGGUUUAUGGGACCGAAGUAAUGAUUAACAGGGACAGUUGGGGCCGUUUAUAUUUCGUUGUCAGAGGUGAAAUUCUUGGAUUUACGAAAGAUAAACUUCUGCGAAAGCAUUCGGCAAGGAUGUUUUCAUUGA
Molecule: ribosomal RNA, 369 nt
Filed under: uncultured eukaryote
Lineage: Eukaryota
Description: partial 18S ribosomal RNA
Rfam family: Eukaryotic small subunit ribosomal RNA
Source: RNAcentral